UCUUAUAGAUGGAAUAACAUUCGACAUUUGAUAUUUCAAAUAAUAGAAAACUCAGUUAGAGUUCAGAUUUUCACUCUAUUCAGUAUUACCAAAUCAUUAUUCUUUAAUUUUACAUAUCCCAAUACACAAAAUUAACUGUUAUCUUUAAACCAAUUUUCAUGUUAAUCUCUCAUCAAUUCGUGAUUUGUUGACAUACAUGAUUAAUUGACACACGAAAACAAAACAUUUACUUUCGAUGCAGCCACUAAUGGUACCUUUUAGUAAAACAAAGCUUUGUACCAUUCUCUUUGUCAUACAUUAAAAAAUGGAACUAGUCAAUGUGUAUUUUCUCUUUUGUCGAUAUCAAUCACGAAAUCGAAAAAAAUAAUUAUAUAAGACAAAUUAUUCUUUUCAUUUGCAAUUAAUCGAAAGUGGAGUUGGUCGAAUUUUUGUGCAUAGUGAUUUUCCUCGAUAUCGAGAAUUAAAUUACCUGGUAAUUUAUAAGUUUUCUAACUACGAUUUCUUAAUAUAAUGAGUAAAAUUCAAGAUUUUGAACUAAUUUGAACUAUUGAGAAUUCUCAGAAUUUUUUCUACUAAUGAAAAAUGAUUACAGAAAGAUCACUCACCAUAAAUAGAUUCGACAGAUUGAAAGGUCUCUGUCAUCAUCCUCGUUCUGAUCUCUGCUCGUAAAUCCUCUGGAACAUGACUUCCCCAUGGACCUGAUGCGCUGUCUUACCAGUAGAUAAUGCAGGUUGUACGUGCCACAACUGACAGUGAAGACGUGAGUUAUCAGAACCAUCAAUGACGAUUAGUACCGUGAGAACAAGCAAUAGCUGAACGGUUGGACUUGUGGGAGUAGUAAUUAAUUGUUAAAAU
Molecule: long non-coding RNA, 855 nt
Organism: Apis florea (little honeybee)
Lineage: Eukaryota; Metazoa; Arthropoda; Insecta; Hymenoptera; Apidae
Source: RefSeq, a predicted model, not a curated record